This is a non-coding RNA of Beta vulgaris subsp. vulgaris (sugar beet), 47 nucleotides long. The record is from Rfam. NCBI's taxonomy places the organism in Eukaryota, Viridiplantae, Streptophyta, Magnoliopsida, Caryophyllales, Amaranthaceae.
UAAACAGCCCUUUUCAGGGCUACAAAUUAAAUAAAUUAUCAAUAAAU